This 1451-nucleotide long non-coding RNA is filed under the name Betta splendens (Siamese fighting fish). RNAcentral describes it as "lncRNA (ENSBSLG00000015616.1)". Lineage: Eukaryota; Metazoa; Chordata; Actinopteri; Anabantiformes; Osphronemidae. The record is from RNAcentral.
CUGUGUGAUAAUUAUUUUAGAUCACACUGUACAUUGGGAGUAGGGAUCUGUGAACACGUUCAGCAGUUAAUUUUAAGAGGAAGCUGUCUAAGCAUUAUAAGGAGCUGGAUGUAGGAUAAUAUAAUUGUGUUAUAUAUUAUAUAUAUUAAUUUGCACAAUAUUCCUUUUGCAUUCAUAUUUAUGUGGGUGCACUGGCCUGUCACUCACUCCUUCUCCACUAGGAGGCAGUCAAGCCCCACUUUUAACUUGAACACUCAAGAGCCAAAUCCACAACUCUGCUGCAAAUCGUAUUGACCAACCACACCUCAUGGGUAUGGCUGAGAUUGGUCUGACUCAGUGGUGCUAAUAUUAGCUCUGCUUUAUUGCUGUCUGCUGGGUUUAGCACGCUGCUGUAUUUAAGCAUAUAAAAACUCUGCCUCUGCUUCUAACUUUGUGUUUCUCUGUCCUUUUGCUCCCUCUCUCGCUCUCUCUCUCUCUCUCUCUCUCGCUCGCUCCUGCUGCUCUCUCCUUUGACAGGCAGGUGUGAGAGUGUGAACAGACUGCCCUGGAGGGGGAUAGACGGUGACCCCAAACCGUGAAUCUCUUGGCCUCUUCAGCCGGAUCCUGUUCCGAGUGCUCGCGCCCGCAGACAGCCCGGAGAGUGGCCCCACGUCAGCCCUCAUCAGCUUUAUUUGAAAAGCUUCCUCUCCUUAAUGAGAGGGAGGUUUGCCUAAACCUCAUAGCGAGCCGACGGGUCCAGGUGCAGCUGAGGUGCAGCUCCGGUGGCGCGUUCGGUGGCCGCCGCUCGCCGAGGUUCGCCAGGAUUCGAAAGGGAGCUCGCAGCGGCCGGCCAGAUGAGGACGGCGGAGGACGAGGACCAAAGAGCAUGCGUCAGCCCUGUCUCUCCAACCCCCCCAUGCAGUGGAGAUCAAAACUUUGUCCUGUGGCACAUUGUCUUGCUCAUCAUCGCGCUCCAGUACAACACCUGCAAAACUGCAGAUGCUUAUUACUCCACCUCGAGCUCCAAGGUACCGACUCUCGCCGCAGCUGUUUCACAGUGGGCUGCGAACUGCUCCAGUGCAUGCUGAAACUAAUGAAUGUUGAUGUAAUGAAGCCAACGGAACCAAGUCGUCUGCACAACUGCUCUUUUUUUUAAGAAUGCAGCAACAACGGCUUGCAACCAACCAACAACUGCAGAUUCCACCUCUCUUUUCUUACUCACGUGCAGUAACCAGUGCGUUUCCUUCGCUCUGGGGACUGAAGGGCUCAUUAACCCUUCCUGCACACAUUUCUGUUUCAUUUUCACCUGCUUGCCAGCACUAAGCCCUUUUCAUCCAUAAAACACAUACUCUCAUCCACAGACAGCUACAUGUGCCCUCAGCCCUCCCCGACCCUCUGGGAGCCAACAGGGCGCAGCGCCGCCUCACCAAAGCCCGCUUGGCCGUGUGACAACAUGACCGAGGCCGGGCCUG